ACUCCUACGGGAGGCAGCAGUGGGGAAUCUUGCGCAAUGGGCGAAAGCCUGACGCAGCAACGCCGCGUGAGUGAAGAAGGCCCUCGGGUCGUAAAGCUCUGUCGAGAGGGAAGAAUGCCUGACUUAUGUCAGGAGAGACGGUACCUCUCAAGAAAGCACCGGCUAACUCCGUGCCAGCAGCCGCGGUAAUACGGAGGGUGCAAGCGUUGUUCGGAAUCAUUGGGCGUAAAGCGUACGCAGGCGGUCUGGAAAGUCCGACGUGAAAUCCCAGGGCUCAACCCUGGAACUGCGUUGGAAACUAUCAGACUUGAGUAUGGGAGAGGUUCGUGGAAUUCCAGGUGUAGGGGUGAAAUCCGUAGAGAUCUGGAGGAACACCAGCGGCGAAAGCGACGAACUGGACCAAGACUGACGCUGAGGUACGAAAGCGUGGGGAGCAAACAGGAUUAGAAACCCCAGUAGUCC
RNAcentral lists this ribosomal RNA (462 nucleotides) under uncultured bacterium. Its description in RNAcentral is "bacterial SSU rRNA". It matches the Rfam family "Bacterial small subunit ribosomal RNA", at positions 335 to 796 of the family's 1533-position model. The record is from RNAcentral.